This 1907-nucleotide long non-coding RNA is filed under the name Fragaria vesca (wild strawberry). RNAcentral's name for it is "long non-coding RNA (FVES_LNC005386)". The record is from RNAcentral. Lineage: Eukaryota; Viridiplantae; Streptophyta; Magnoliopsida; Rosales; Rosaceae.
UAACAUACUAUAUCUCUCUAUCUAUCUCUCUAAAAUAUCUCUCUCUAGCUUCUAUAUAUAAAUAUUGGAGGAACAACAAAUGAAGUUCUGAGGCAAAGGAAGAGAAUUGCUUAGCGUCUAUAACCAAUGAAUGUCAACAAAGAUUAUGUCUCUCUUCCAUCACUUUCUGCCAAUCCUCCUUUAGCCAUUUCAUUUUCUUUGUUUCUCUACCUUUAUUUAGCAGUCUCUUAGUUUCUUGUCUUAAUUCAGAUUCCAUCUCUGGUUUCAUGGUUGUCUCCAAUCAAGGUAAAACCUAACACAGUCACUUUUCAAUUUUUUCUCUCUAUUUUCGCCUGUGGAUGUACAAAACUCUUUCCUGCUUUCUCAGUUUGUUGUUUGAAUAUUAAAAUGAGAGUAUUGUAACGUAAUGCAAAAUUGCAAAUUGAUUUGUUUAUUGAAGAAUUUUUGCUUUGUAUGUUUUCUUGUACUCUCUGUUAUUAGUUUCUACAUAUAUAUAUAGACACAUAUUGAGGUAUAUAUAAUGACUUGUGAGGAACCAUGUUAAGAUUCUUGUAGAAAAAGUAGGAGAUAAUGUGUCCCUCUUUUAAUUGUAUAUAGGAUCUCAUUUCGUGCUUAUAAUGUGUGUGCAUGCUGGUGCCUUUUUGCUCAGCUGCAUUUUUAUGUGCAUUGUUGGUGUACUCGUAUAUCUUUACUUACUAUGUUAUUAAUAGUCUUGAGAAACUCCCCUAAAUUUCUGGAGAUGAUGAUAGUCUAUUUUGUUUUUGGUUUACAGGGUGCUAAUAAAUCAGCUGUUUUGAAAGCUUAAUCAGACUCCUUUUUAGAUAAGUACAAUUUACCAAUGUAUUUCAAUGUCCAAAUUAUAGCGGUUUUUAAUUUUAUUUUAUGGUUUCUUCCUCCAGCCAACUAGUGAGAAUGAUGCUACUCGAGCUCCAAUCAGCAUUGAUCUACAGAGGAGCAGCUCAUUGAGCAGCAAAUCAAUGAUAUUGCAGAUUGACAAUUAAUCCCAUCAAGUUUCUGCAAGUAAGUCACUUAAUGUAUGUUCUCAAUUUAAUUUAAUCAUGUUAUAGUGCUGUUUUUGUUUAGAAUCUUCUUAGAAUUUCAAGUCAAUACUAUUGUGUUUUCACAUAUAGGGUUGUUUUGAUUUAGCUAUCAUUUAAACUCACUUCACAUCGUUCUUAAUGGAGUUUGUUUAUAGGUUAUUUCCAUGUCGAGCUGAAUCUUAAUUUAUUGUUUUGUAAAUACCAUCUUACAUUGCAAGUAUGUAAGAAUUAUAGCUGAAUUCCACUUUUCAUGAUUUAUAGUUUAUAUAAGGAUUUCAGGUCCUAGUGAUAAGACUUGCAAUGCUUGAGAGGAGAACGCAGAUACUUUACAGAUACGUUGCAGGUGAUUACUUAGUGUUUUUUUAAAAGUAAACUAUUAAGCAUGAUUCUACCACACUCAUCUGCCAAUGGAUCUCAAACAUCAAUCAACUCAACAUUGCCUUAGUUUAUAGAUUCAUUCAGAUUGACCAAUUGGUGUAUGUUAGCUUCUAUGAUAAUUCAUUCAAUUGCAUGCUAGUUUAUAUUUGGUUUUUGUGUCCUUAAAACUUACUAAUAUUCUUUGUCUUCAAUUUGGCAGGAGAGACUUGAAUGAUAGGUGCACACUGAAGUUUGGAUAUGAAGGAAGUAUCAGAGUGCAUUAGUGCUGUUAGGACUUGGGGGGACUUCCUACACACCACAAUUGUAGUUGCUAGUAUUUGGUUUGUUGUCUUUUUUAUUUUCUUGUAGGCUGGUCUCUUUAGAACAAAUAACUUUGUAAACUUUGUUGGUUUUUGGCAAUGAGAAUGAAUUUGAGAUAUCUGAAUCAUGUUGUGCAAAUGCUUUAUUAAAUUGUCAUCCAAAUUAAAAUCAGACAACAUAUAUUCCCAU